Calidris pygmaea (Spoon-billed sandpiper) is the source of this 2203-nucleotide long non-coding RNA. NCBI's taxonomy places the organism in Eukaryota, Metazoa, Chordata, Aves, Charadriiformes, Scolopacidae. The record is from Ensembl.
UAGCAGAGUCACGUCUGGAGAAUGACCCGUUUUAUCUAAUCCUUACCAGGAGGCAAGACGGAGCAGUUGCUGAAUCCUGCUCCUUGGAAAGCCACACAAGUAUUUCAAAUAGAAUUUCUAAUAGUUGAUACCUUAAGGUAAUGAAAAGACUUUUGAAGAGCUUUUUUUUUUUUCCCCCUUUUUUUUUUAUUUUUUUUUCUUUUCCUUAGGUCCUUCCUUUUCUAUGACAGAUUGUUAAAAGUAUACAGAGAGGUCCUCAGAAUAAAUCUGCAUAGUUAAGUUGACUUCAGUGGUUUCUUGACAAUUGGAGUGAGUUGAACUCCUAGCCUUGUAAUUUAGAGCAUAAGACCCAUGUCAGGUCUGGUCUAGGCCAUCAGCUGCUCUCCAGCAGUGACCAAUAGUGUAUACCUAGGGAAAAACAUAAGAAUAAGACUUUUUGACUGAGGCAGAGAUUAUAUCUUUAAAGUCCUUGAUGGAUUGUUUUUUUCUUCCAUCAGUUUGGCUGCCGACCAUUUUACCUCAAAUAUAUUUCUGCCUCAUAGCCAUGAAUUCGACUAGAUGUUUAACUGACUAGUUUAAUUAAGCCAACAGUUUAACUAGAUGUUGGAAAGCUAUCUCUUGAUUGUUUUGAACUUGUUCCCUAAUCCAUCUAUUUGUUGUCCCCUAGUUCUAUUUGAGAAACAAUGACAAAUUUUUUCUAUUAACUUCUUCAUUUCUGAUUGCACAGACCUGUGUCACAUCAACUUCAGUUAUCUCUUUUUCUUUCUUGUUUUUUUUGUCUUGACAAAGAAACGAUUCAAUAUAUUUGCUCAUCCUUCUCCCUGACUUGAGUUCUCUUAUUUCCUGUUUCAAGAUGAGAACAGAUCCAAACAAAUACUACCCAGAGACCCCUUACUGUCUUUGAAGACUGCAGUGAUUUUUUAAAUAAUGCUGUAUAAAAAUGACAUAUGUGAAACACAAAGAAAUUUGUUGGAGACUUGCAACACUUAAGAAUGUUUAAGCUGAUACUUCCUUACAUGACAAGAGUGAAAAUAGACCGAGCAUCAGUUACACUUGAUGGAAACCCCCUAACAUCAACAGAACCAGUACAGACCCCAGGUCCUUUAUCUUACUUCUCAGACAGUAGUUUGGCAGCUCUAUAUAUGAUAAUGCACCGUCUUCCCUGAAUUCUGUGAGGUGAAGAUUAAGCUGACAGAUGGUAUCAGCAGAAGAAUGAUUAUGAGUUUUAAAAACCUUGAUAUUUUGGCUUAGUACAUCAUUUUUCAUGCAAAUACUGACACGGAUAUUAGCAUCCAAUUAGGAAAGUAUAAAACUAUGCCAUUCUGUUACAGUUUACGUUACAAUCAUUUACUGUUUCAUUAAAAAUACUAAGAAAGACCGCUCUAAAAGGGAUAAAAAAAAAUCAAUGAUGUAACUUUUACAUCUGCUAUUUUGCUGUUCUGGUACUGUGUGGUAGUGAAAAUGGGCUACACAUCUCUUUUAAAUUAUUCUGCUAAUUAUUCUGACUGAGGUGCUGCUCCCAUUUUUGGGUCCUAAAAAAGUACUUAGACAUGGCUAGGGCUGAAAGGCUUGUGAUGAACCUGGGCUGAUUUAUUUCCAUAGGUUAUAUUAUGUCUAAAUAUACACACCUGUUAGUCAGACAAGGACCAUCAGUGAUACGUGCUAGCCAGUGAUUUAAACCCCAAAAAACAACUGAUGAUCUACAUGAAAAUGUUUUUAAAUGCCCUCUCUCAAUUCCAGUGCAUCAGAGUAAGAAAAUAAGGAAAUACGGACCAUUCAGAGUCUGAAGAACAGUCAUGGAUAAGUAGAAAGAAAAUCAACACUCACCAGACAUUUAACUUGUGGUUGUGGUGGUGGCUGUUGAUGACAUUUCUUGGUGGCACACUUUUCUUCACUUUCGUGCAAUGUCUGAGCCAACUCUGGAGGAGAAACAACUUUUAAGUUAAAGAAUUAGAACUUAAAAACUGAAAGUCUAAUUUUUUGACCAAGGAAAAGAGAUCACUGUUUCUUCGCGCUACCCUUCCUCUGCAAAAAAGAGAUUUCCCUGUCCUCUGUAGUAUGGGUGCUCUUGUGAUGCAAAGCAGUGGGUAAGGAAAAGGAGAGAUUGUGAAAUAUCCAGGGAACUGCAACCCAGGCAGGGCUUUAGCAUUGCUACUUCACAUCACUUUUCAAAAAUAGGGAAUAAACGAAAAGAAAUUUCUCA